Long non-coding RNA from Callithrix jacchus (white-tufted-ear marmoset), 528 nucleotides. RefSeq lists it as uncharacterized. NCBI's taxonomy places the organism in Eukaryota, Metazoa, Chordata, Mammalia, Primates, Cebidae. The record is from RefSeq and is a predicted model, not a curated record.
CCCUCCUUUUAAAUCGUGUAGCCAGUAUCUUUUGCUCCUCUGAAAUAAACCCGGUUCUAGGAAGACUUCAGUGCCACCAGGUCUGCUUACCCAAAUCCAUUGACAAGAACCACACAUUUGCACUACAUGGUGGAGAAACUGAGAUUCAGACAAGGAGCUUCUUGUUCAGCAAACACUACUUAGCCAAUAAUCUAAAUGGAAGUUAAUGGAGAAUUGUUUGACUCAGUGCUAUGGUCUGAAUGUUGUGUCCCUCCCAAAUUCAAAUUCAAAUCCUAACCCCAAGGUGGUGAUAUGAGGAGGUGGAGUCUUUGGAAGGUGAUUAUAUCAUGGGAGUGGAACUGUCAUGAAUGGGAUCAGUGCCCUUGUAUAAAAGCCUCCUCAACCCUUCAACUAUGUGAGGACACGGCAAGAAGAUGCCAUCUAUGAACUGGAAAGUAGGCCCUCAUCAGACUCAGACCUACUGACACCUUGAUCUUGGACUUCCCAGUCUCCAGAACCUUGAGAAAUAAAUUUCUGCUGUUUAUAAGA